Molecule: long non-coding RNA, 605 nt
Organism: Anguilla rostrata (American eel)
Lineage: Eukaryota; Metazoa; Chordata; Actinopteri; Anguilliformes; Anguillidae
Exons: 7
Source: RefSeq, a predicted model, not a curated record
CAAAUUUUAUGGAGUACACAUAUAAGCCAGCUACAGGAUUUGGGUAGAAAGGUGGCUCCAGGGCAGAAGAAAUAGACCUAUUAAAUAGAAUAUAGCCUAUACAGAUGGAUCACAGGAUCCAGUUCAGGGAGAACUGGGGCAGUCAUCAUCAUCCUUCGACUGCCGUCAAGAUCUCAGAUGCCACGCUUUUCCACCGGGUCUUAUCGGUCAUUGCUGCUCCCAGUUCUUGGAACAAGGCCCAACCACUGCAGGCGUAACCUAGUUAACCUGAUUAGCAUCCCACCUGAAUGUACCAGCAAGGCUCUGCGGUUUCUCAGGAAAAGAACAACCUCCUUAAUCCUCACCAGUCCAGUUUUUGAACUGGGCACUCAACUGAGACUGCUUUUCUGGCUGUGAUGGAGGCACUCGCCACUGCAAUAACCUCAUCACUCUCCUGAUCUUCUUAAACCUCUCUGCAGCAUUCAACAUGGUUAUGAGAAAAGCUGCCUGCCUGGUUGACAUCUCUACAUAGACGACCAGUGGUUUCCGCUCACUCUGCAAAGAACAUGGGCGUGGUCCUGGAUGAUCAGCUGGACUUCAAGGAGCACAUCACAGCAACAUCAUGA